AGUGAACGCUGGCGGUAGGCCUAACACAUGCAAGUCGAACGGCAGCACAGUAAGAGCUUGCUCUUACGGGUGGCGAGUGGCGGACGGGUGAGGAAUACAUCGGAAUCUACUUUUUCGUGGGGGAUAACGUAGGGAAACUUACGCUAAUACCGCAUACGACCUACGGGUGAAAGCAGGGGAUCUUCGGACCUUGCGCGAUUGAAUGAGCCGAUGUCGGAUUAGCUAGUUGGCGGGGUAAAGGCCCACCAAGGCGACGAUCCGUAGCUGGUCUGAGAGGAUGAUCAGCCACACUGGAACUGAGACACGGUCCAGACUCCUACGGGAGGCAGCAGUGGGGAAUAUUGGACAAUGGGCGCAAGCCUGAUCCAGCCAUACCGCGUGGGUGAAGAAGGCCUUAGGGUUGUAAAGCCCUUUUGUUGGGAAAGAAAAGCAGCAGGUUAAUACCCCGCUGUUCUGACGGUACCAAAAGAAUAAGCACCGGCUAACUUCGUG
RNAcentral lists this ribosomal RNA (492 nucleotides) under uncultured bacterium. RNAcentral describes it as "partial 16S ribosomal RNA". It matches the Rfam family "Bacterial small subunit ribosomal RNA", at positions 29 to 507 of the family's 1533-position model. The record is from RNAcentral.